RNAcentral lists this ribosomal RNA (331 nucleotides) under uncultured eukaryote. Its description in RNAcentral is "partial 18S ribosomal RNA". It matches the Rfam family "Eukaryotic small subunit ribosomal RNA", at positions 1470 to 1796 of the family's 1831-position model. The record is from RNAcentral.
CCCUUAGAUGUUCUGGGCCGCACGCGCGCUACACUGACGAAGUCAGCGAGCAUGUCCUACGCCGACAGGUGCGGGGAAUCUUGUCAAACUUCGUCGUGAUGGGGAUUGAUUAUUGAAAUUCUUGAUCAUCAACGAGGAAUUCCUAGUAAGCGCAAGUCAGCAGCUUGCGUUGAUUACGUCCCUGCCCUUUGUACACACCGCCCGUCGCUACGACCGAUUGAAUGGUUUAGUGAGAUCUUCGGAUUGGCGCCACUGCGGCUCAGCAAUGGGCUCGGUGGAUGCCGAAAAGUUGAUCAAACUUGAUCAUUUAGAGGAAGUAAAAGUCGUAACA